AUACUCUCAAAAAUCUGUUAGCUAAAAAAUGAUAAUAUAUAAAUGCUGAUAAUUAUUUAAACAGUGAAACAAAUGCAAUUAAUUGAGACACUUUCAUUCAUAAUGAUUAUUUGUUAUCAUGCAGCAGAAUGAAGAUUUAAAUGGAUCUAACAUGCAUUCGUGAGAGUCUACCUCAUUAAACUUUCAGGAAUUUCAAUUAUGAGUGUCAGAUACAAUGCCUAACGAGAAACUAUGAAACUAAAUCGCUAUCUUCUAUGUAUAAUUUAUAAUUGUAUAGCGAAUUGCUCAGUAAUACGAUUAAAUGCUAUAUUCAUAAGUAAAGAAUUGGGCGGAUCGACUACUCCUAAGGCCUCGCUCAUCAAUUAUUUUGAAUUAAUUUAGUCCCACACAUUCAUUCUAAAAGUCUAAGUUAGGAUAAUUGGGAUUAAAUUGAAAGGACGUUACUCUAUUUUCAGUUUUUCUAGAAAAUAAAAAAGAAGAAACAACAGAGAGUGCAUAUGUAUAUGUAUGUUCAAUUCCGAUGAUCCAACAAUGCAUAUGUGCAAUUUUUGAAUAUGUUCAAUAGUUGAUAAUAAUAAUAAUAAUAAUAACAAUAAUGGGAUGAAGGAUAUUGUAUAGUAAACGUAUGAUUUUUUCUAUUAUCAAUGAAUGAAAUUACAAAUAGAAUGAUUGAUGUGUGCAUACGAUCAUUAAAUGUUUGUUAAUAGAAUUUGAUUCUAUAUAAUGACAUACCAGCAAUCCGUAAAAAAGAUUUAUCUGAUUAAAAUUUCAUCCGCCUUUAAAUAUUUAUUAUUCAUUCUUUUUUUUUUCUUCUGAAUAAGAUAAUAUUUUUAAUAAGAUUAUGUAUUUUUUUUCUUUUAGUAAAUGGUCAUUCUAUGUCGAGAAUUUUAUGAGCGAGUCUCUCCCUCUCCAUGAGAGAAUUAUUAAAAGGUAUAUGGCAGUAUGCGAGUCAGUGAAAUUUCAUAAAUCAAUAUUCCUUACUUUUCACUUAAGUCUAUUCAACGUUAACUCUUCUUAUUUUAAUAUUCAUCAUUUUUUUAUACGAACAUUUAAAUCUUCAUUGUAUUUCUUUCAAAUAGCGAACUGAAAAAAGUUAAUGAAUCAUCUACAAAUGAUUAAAAUAAAAUCGAGAAAUACGGCAGUGUACGACGUCUAAUAAUCGCAUUAUAAUUUAAAGAGAGACUCGCUCAGACCGACAACAUCUGUAGAGUUUAAAAUGCCAACAAGAAAAUAUUUCAGUUACUCAUUUAAGUCACUACUUAUUAGAGACAAUCUACUAAAGUUUUAUAGCACUUUUUUUUCCGUUUUUUUUUAAUCAAUAUAUUCUAUCAGUAUUAUCAAUGUAUGUAACAACAUGAACAGAUAAAGAGAUUUCGUUUUUCUUAUGGGAGAAUCUCUUUCUUGUGUUACAUUUUAAAUACUUCCGAAGACACUGUGUCUAUGUAUAUAUUUUUUCGUUUAUAUAUAUCUUUUUUUUAUUUUACUGUUUGUCUGAUUUUUCCUCUACAAAUUGACCUAUAAAUCUGAUAUUGCUUAAAUCGAUCAAAGCCCCUCAGAGGCAACGAUUUUUGAAGCUUUUAAGACUCACUUUUGUAAGAAUUUUUUCUUUUUCUCUCCCUUUUUUAUUGAAAUUAAGUGACAUAGCCUGUUAUCUAUCAAGGAGGAUGCAGAUCGCGAUGAUGGGCUCUAGCACUUAAAAUUGCUUUCAAUUCGGAUUCUAAUUGUUUUUUCGUUCGUUCGCUUACCGAUCGGCCUCCUACUACCGGUUGAGCGGUAAGUCUUGGUGAUGGUAAAUCGGCCAUCAGCUUGCCAGUAUCUCUGUUUUCAUGGCUUCUUGCUCUUCUUAUAGGCUUCUUAAUGGGCAAAGUAUCAUCCUGGAUCUUCUCAUGCGAUGGCCGUUCUAGAGACAAUGUUAUUUCUUGAUUUAAUGUGUAAGUGGAACCACUGGCCACCGCUUCUGAGGACCUGCUGAUAUCUAUUGUUCCUGAACCCCAUUCACGAGAUAACUUUCUCCCUAUGGCCGAAGUUAAUUCGUUAUUCGGCGAUAACAAUGGACUUUUGGAUAUAUGAUAGGUAGAAGAAUGUGGUGGUCUUAAGGUAGCGAAUACUGGAAACGAUUGUCCUCGUUUCGCUGGACUUCUGGCAUAUCUAGGCGUAGGUGCACCUCCUCCAGUCGAUUCACCUUUAAUCGUUGGCGUUGUACUACCGGUGGAAUCGCUUUUUGUCGGAGCUAAAGGUCUUAAUGUUGCACUACCUCCGAAAUGAGAACCUAAACGUGGAGGUGGUGAUCCACCAUCUCCAUGACUCAAACGACGACCCACCGUUUCAAGAGGACUUCUCGCUCUUAAAUUGGUACUACUUAGAGUAAAUUCUCUGGGCUUCAUAGGAGCCUCCAAACUGAUAGGAGACAAUCCUAAUCUAGAACUUGAUAGAUUGGUCGAACUUCUACUCUUCUCUGACCUUUUUGGACUCCGAGGCAUUAAAGGACUUUUGCUUUUGCUUCUUUCUCUUCCCUUUAUAAGUUUCUCUUCUUUCUUGAUGGUGGAUAUCUUUUCCUGCUCUUCUGAUACAGUUUCUAUUUUUUCCUCUUGUUGAACUCUGUAAAAUUAAAAUAUUAUUCUUGUUAAAUUAUAUCUAAAGCAUGAAAUAAUUUCUUAGAUUCUUUAGUUCACCUUCGAAUUUCUUGGAUCAUCUCGAAAAACUGAGCUUUACUUUUGCGUCUUCGACGUUGUUCGUGUUCCUUCUGGAACAUGGAUACCUUGUAGAUAUAUGAAAAAUAUUACAAAUUUACUGAAACAAAAAGUUACUUACUCGUUUGACACUUUUUUGAAAAAGGGAGGCAAUUUGUCCUUGUCGUACCGUGUGAACCAGUUCUCUGGCAGCAUGAUGUGGCGAUACCAGCUCUACGCAAUUGAUGAAUCUGUAUAGUUUCUGUGAGAAGAACAUCACAUUACGGCUGCGCCAUAUAGAAUCCUCCGGUCUGUGUCUCAAUCUGGGCAAUGUAUAUUUGUAAAAUAAGUGUUCCCCAGCUAAAAUAAUUGUACCGAGAACAACACCCAUUCCUAAAAGACAGAAUACGCCAGCUACAGACGCAACACCUAAUGGUCUAGGUUGUCCCCCUUGUUCAUGUUCAAAACCGGUAUCCAUUCCUUCUCUUCCUCGAAUGCAGGGUAAACCACCAUACCUAGAUAAAUAUCCAGUAAUCCAGUACUUGUAUAAUUAGCUAUAACUCUGGAUAUACUUUCUUUCAAAGGAUGGCCCUUGGUAAGAGCAACAGCAUAAGUAUCUUCAUUUAUAGUAUCUCCGAUUUUUUGCAAUCGACAACCAUCAUCUAUCGCUCGAUAGUAAUCUAAAAUAGGAGUGUCUGCUAUAAGUAUAUCUAAACUACCAUUUCUUAAUCUUUCUACACCCUCAGCAACAUUUGAUAAAGAAUAUCUAGCCAUGUGGGACCAUAAUUGUGCGUUUGCUUUCUGUACAUAAUAUUCGGCUGCGGAUGCUCUUGGUGCACCAACCUUCUGUAAUAACAACUGCAACAGAUAUUAAUUUUCAUUAUCAUUCGAGAUAAUAUAUAUUCAAUGUUGUUAUACAAUAAAAAUAUGUUCUUACACUUUUAUCAUGAUAAUUGCUUACUGCAGGAUGGAAAAAAAGGCCCGCGAUAAGGGCAGCUAUGUUGGCUGUAUAAGAGGCUACAAAGAUAACCGAGAAACCACCCCAAAUAUUGAUCAAAAAUUUGUUAGGCCAGGAUUUCGGUGCCUUGAAGGCAACUAAAUGUCCACAAAGGAGACCCCACAUCACCCACAAGGCAGAGGCUAUCGAAAAGUUCUUGCUUCGUUGUCUACCCCAUGGGUUCAGACCGAACGGGCUGAACCACUCGUACAGUGCCACUGCUGUGGCAGUGAAGUUCAACGAUGUAAAAACAGCGAUCCACAAUUCUGGACUGAAUGGAAAUAGAAAAGCAAAUAGCGAUAUUUCUGAUUUGAGUUUUGGCGCAGUAAGAAAGCUGACUCCACUGAAGAAAUAUGGCGUGGUAAAGUCAACUACUUCCGCUCUACGAGCAGACACACUGAGCGGUGCAAAGGCCAGUUGAGCUCGACUAGAAACUAAUUCUCCCAUAAUCCCAUUCCACGUGCUGCCAUUUCUCUUUCCAAACAGACCAUCUUUCACCAAAUAUAAGUCAUAUCGGAAUCCUAAUUCACGAGAUACCAAGGACAUCAGGUCCAUGCUUAAACCGUAACAGCACAUCAGAGUAUUUUCUUGACGACAAAAAACUCCUCUCAAGCAGAGACCUUCCUGUAGAUUUGUAACCAUUGUAAAUGGUGGUGCCAAUGCUGUUACUAUGCGAUACAUUGGCAUGCCAAUUUUUUCGCCUCCUUGUUCUAAAUAUGCUGGCACAAUACCUCCCCCUGGCCAAAUUAUGGUAUCCAAAUGAACUUCUUUUCCACCUUUUACUGUGCCAACUUUGGUCCAUCUAUGGAAAAAAAAUUAAAAUAAUAUUUAUGAAUAUUUAUAUUUAAUUGAAAGAAUGAAUAUUGUUUAAACAUACCUCAAUUGAGUCUUAUUUCCUGGAAAUCUUAUGGCUUGUAAGUUCAACAAAUGAAAUUUAGCUUUGUCCUUAGAAAGUUGACUUACAGAAUUCCUCAACUUCUGAGUUAAAGUCUUUGAAACAGUAUGCCUCAUUUUGCUUGUCAAAAAUUUGGCAUUAUUUUUUGAGAAGCAUUCUGGUAUAAAGUUCUCUUCCAUUUGAGCCUCAUUUAAACGAUUCAAUCUAGGUUUUACUUCUAUAAAUGUUUCGUCCAAUGCCUGAGAAGUUUCCCUGAUCAUUCUGGAUAAUAUAGUAUCACUACCCAUUAAUUUUAUACCAGAUGGCCUUAAUACUAGCAUACCAACUGGCAUAAAAUCUUUGGAAUUCAAUUCCUUGUCCUUUAUUCUAAUAUCUUCAUCAUCAUCAAAAUUAAAAUUUUUAUCUUCUUGUUUAUUCACAGACAUUUCGUUUUGCCACCUAUAUUCUUGUAAUCGAUGUAUAUCAUUCGAUAAAUUGGGCAAGGAAUUUAAAGAUAACUGGUUUUCUGCUACGAGAUUCAUGUUUCGAUUUAUACUCUCUAGGGCUGAAGGAUUUUCAUUCGUUGCUAUCGAUGAUCUUGAGCUAUAUAUAAUAUGAGAGCUGAUAACAUUUGGUUCAUUAGGUCUUAAUUCUGCUUUCAAGUCCAGCCAAAGCCAUAGAAAUCUUCCUGCAAGCAUUUCAUACUUGCCAGCAAUAGCUAAUAUUUUUCGUGCACUAUUCAAGUCAGAACCCAUUACUAUGACUCCUCCACUACCCCCUUGCUCGGCAACUCUUCUCAGUCUAAUUCUCAAAGUUUUAUCAUUUGUCGGAAGAUGUAUAAUGGUUCUAGGUGUUAAAAUUGUUUGAUUUGCAUGUAAUAAAUCAUUGAUUGGAAGCAAAGUAGUAUCUAUAAGAAGAGUGAAUGCAUGCCAGUUUGCUCUGUGCAUCAAAGCAGCAGCAGCUGCUCCCACUUCCUUUGUACUAGACCCUAUACGACUUUCGAAUUGACCAAGAUUUCCCUGUAAAUUACAAUUUUUUUAGUAAUUAUGCUAAAAUUAAUUAUAAUAAAUAAUUGAACUUAUAACAAACCUGUCUAAGAAAAUCUUCAUGAGUGAACGGUAACCACAAUGCUGGAAUAUUUAAUGAAGCUGCAGCAGUUACAAGAAAUUUAGCUGCAGAGCCUCCUCCAAUAAUGAUACUUAAUGCAGUUCUUCCACCUUUAAUUUCAUUGCAAAAUUUGUUCAAUAAUGACAGAGGAUAGGAUAGCGAAUCUGUCUUAGGUGGAGCUUCUAUGAAAGAUACAUUCAUGUCUGCAUGAGAUGAUUCCAGCCUUGCUUUUUCCCAUGCUUUUUGUACAUCCGUUUUUAGCGAACCUUGUGGUUGUGUCAAAGAAAACACUAUACGCCAUGCAGCAUAAGAUGUUCGAAAUCGUCCUUUAAUUGCUCUCACAGAUCUGGCAGGAUCUGUGGAGCAAAAACAAAAAGAAGUUCCCAACAAAAAAAGGAAUAAAAUUCUUCGAAAGAAGCCGAACAUCUUCUUUGCUUAUAUGUGUUUCUCCUCUGCGUUAUUCUUUACUUAGCUCGUCUGGUUUACAUUAUUCAUGUAAGGUUCCAAUCUGUAAUUGUUAAAAUUAGAACAAAAUAAUUUGUUAUUUUCAUAUUUUAAUUAUAUAUAUCAUUUAUGUUUCAUAGACACAUUACAAAUUAAAAUACCUUGUUGACAAUAACAAUUCGAAUAUUUUGCGUUUUUAUUAUAUGAAGAAUAUUUUUCAUGAUUAAAUCUUACUAAUGAAAAAUAACUCUACUCUCAUAAAAAAUAUUUUUUUUAUCAUGUAACGUUUUGCCCGAAAAUGUUUUUCACACACUUGCACUUUUCCGUUUAUAAAUUUUACUUUAUUAAAAACAUAAUCGGAUUUUUUACACAUGAUAGAACAAAGCACAAAGUUGAAUAAAUUUAAUGAUUAAACUUACCAAGUUUAAAUGUUUAGGAAAGGCAAAUAGUGAAGAUAGUUUACCUUUUCCCAAAGCGAAUCAUAUGUCGCAAAUCCGGGGGCGGAUGAAGAAGAGCACGAAGAUUACUUUUUAGCCGCCACAUAAUAGCUAUCGAUUAGGUAACCGUAUCAAUUGUCGUAAAAUAAUGUCAAUUGGUCAAUGUGGAAGACAGGGAUGAACCGUCAGUUGCCCUUUUCUAAACGUCCUACCCCAUAACAGCCAUUUUCGAGCAGCCCCUCCCUUUAAAUUUCACCCCUACGAUACACAUACUAUUUUCUCGCACACAUACAAGUAUGUAUAUCAUAUGCAUUUCUCCUUAGAUUAUAAGAUAUUGAAAAAUAAGAUCGAAUUUUUUUUUAAUUUUUUAAUUUUUUUUCAGAAAAUUAUGAUAUUGUUCUUUUAUUUAAGGAAAAUAAUAAAUCAUUUCUGAAUAAUCUUUAUUAUAAAAUGUUACAAAUUAUGGUUUUUAAAAUUUAAAUUUUUUAAAUAUGAAAGAAAAAUCUUGAUAACAAUAUUGAGUUAAUAUAGGAAAAAUAUUUAUAAUAAUAAUAUAGGAAAAAUAUCGGACGAAAAAUAUUUCUACAUGUUUUUAAAAAUUAUUUUUCAUAAAUUAUAUUUUAUCUUAUACACAUAUAUAUGUUAUGCUGCACUUAACACAAUUUAUUUACAAAAUUUUUUUUAAUAUUAUAAAGAAUGUAUGGAACCAUUCAAAUAUAAUUUCGAUUUGCAAUCGCUAAAUUUUUUCGAAUUGGAUUUUUAUUGAUUUUUUUUUCACUACAGUUAAAAUUAGUCGGAAUAUAAAACAAAGAAGUUUUUUACAUUUAAUAAUCGAAAUAAUAAAUUUAAAAAAAAUAAUGAAUAAUUAAAAUAAAUUUUGUUGCAACGCAUCGUUUUUGAACGUAUUCCAUGCAUUGUUCAGUUCCAUAAAAAUUAAUUUUGCAAUAUUUUCGUUAACUGUUCCUGCUUGCUAGAAAAAAUAAUACAAAAAAUAUUAAAAUCAAAUAUAUAAUCUAUAUUAAUUUUUUAUUUUGUAAUUUUAAAUUUUUUAACAAUACCUUAUCUGGAUGCACAGCUAAACAAGCUUUUCUAUAAGCUUUCUUUACAUCUGCAGUAGUGACUAAUUGAUGCAUUUCGCAUCGUUGCCAUUUAGCUUCUGACCAUAAAACCAUAUGUAACGAAGAAAGAAGAGCUCUCAAAUUACUUCUUUUUCCUUCUGUCCAUUCAACAAUUUUUAAUCUAUCCGGAUCUAUAAUCUUGGCUGCUUCUAUUUUCCUCAUUUGAUUUAUUGUUUUUGGAUUGUCUUUUUCAGUUUUUCGUGAAUUAAAAAAAUUGUAUCCUUGACUAUCUAAUAAAUCUUUGAAAACA
Long non-coding RNA from Apis cerana (Asiatic honeybee), 7896 nucleotides. RefSeq lists it as uncharacterized. The record is from RefSeq and is a predicted model, not a curated record. Lineage: Eukaryota; Metazoa; Arthropoda; Insecta; Hymenoptera; Apidae.